Fragaria vesca subsp. vesca is the source of this 3371-nucleotide RNA transcript. RefSeq lists it as uncharacterized. The record is from RefSeq and is a predicted model, not a curated record. NCBI's taxonomy places the organism in Eukaryota, Viridiplantae, Streptophyta, Magnoliopsida, Rosales, Rosaceae. The transcript is spliced from 11 exons.
CAGACAGAGUAAGCGUGGUAGACUAGUUGCAGUUUACCUCAUGAACAUGACCACAAACAUACGUGUGUGGAAUGCUCUGAACUCAGAAUUAAGUGCAAAUACAAAUCUUCUUAAAAAUGUUCUGCAAGUGCAACCAGCAAAUUCAUUACAGGGUCAGAAUUCUUGCACAAUUUGUUUUUCCAAAGAAAACUGCUGCCCUGCGAUUUCUGCUAGAUGGCCUAGAAUGUGUUCUGAUUUAAAUAGUUCCCAACAGGCUGCAGUUUUGAACUGUAUCAGUUUGAGCAGGUGCCAUCACAACAAUACAGUCGAGCUACUAUGGGGUCCUCCAGGGACUGGAAAAACAAAGACAGUUGGUCUGUCACUCUUUGCUCUUUUUCAGUUAAAGUGCAGAACUCUAACAUGCGCUCCCACCAAUAUUGCUGUCUUAGAAGUGACAUCACGGCUGCUGAGAUUGGUUAAACAGUCAUUGGAAUAUGGCAAGUAUGGACUUGGAGAUAUCAUUCUAUUUGGGAGUAGGGGGAGAUUGAAGAUUGAUAGUAAUGAUGACCUUCAAGAGGUAUUUCUUGAUCAUCGUGAGGUUAUUCUGUCAAAAUGUUUUGCCCCCUUUUCAGGUUGGCAACAUUGGCUAGAGUCUAUGAUAGAUUUGCUUGAGGAUCCAAAUAAACAAUACACAUUGUAUUUGGAAUCAAUGAGGAGAAAAUACGAUUAUAAACAAAAUUCUGGUGAUAGGAGCUCGGAGAUACAGUACUCACUGUAUUUAAAAAAGAGAAGGGAAAAAUACAAUGGGGAUAGUACAAACUCAUCGAGCGAUGAUCACAAUGGUGAAUUGACGUUUGAGGAGUUUGGGAAGGAAAAAGAGUUACCACUGCAUUUGAAAAAGGGAUGGGAAAGAUGCCACGAUGAUGGUAAAGAUAGUAAUAGUACGAACUCAUCAAGUGAUGAUGACAUUGAUGUUUUGACGUUUGAGAAGUUUCUGAAGGACAAACAUAAUUACAUUGGUGAGAAUCUGAAGCUGUGUAUGGAAAAUAUGUACACUCACUUGCCAACUUCUUGCAUUUCAUUAGAUGUGGUGAAGGACAUGAUUAGAGCUAUUGAAUUUCUCAAGUCAAUUAAAUCUUUAGUAUCUCAGGGGCUUGACAUUGCUAGUGAAAGGUUUGAAUUGAUCGUGGACAAUUGCGUUAAUAUUCUGAGGUCACUUCGUGUCUUUUCUGUUCCAACUUCUAAUGGUGGCCAGACAAUAAGGAAGUUGUGUUUGGAAAAUGUGUGCUUAAUAUUUUGUACUGCAUCAACCUCAGCAAAACUGCACACGGAAGGAAUCAAACCACUUGAACUGUUGGUCAUUGAUGAAGCUGCUCAGCUUAAAGAAUGUGAAUCGGCAAUCCCUUUACAACUACCUGGCCUUCGACAUGCUAUUCUCAUAGGAGAUGAAAGGCAACUUCCUGCUAUGGUUAAAAGCAAGAUCGCAGAGAAAGCUGGUUUCGGGAGAAGCUUGUUCGAAAGACUAGUCCUGUUGGGACAUGAGAAGCACCUUCUCAAUGUCCAGUAUAGGAUGCAUCCGUCAAUCAGCUUAUUUCCGAAAAAAGAGUUUUACGAUAAUAGGAUAUUGGAUGGUCCAAAUGUCAACGCAGUAAGCUAUGAGAAAUGCUUCCUUGAGGGAAGAAUGUUUGGAUCCUACUCCUUCAUACAUAUAGCCGACGGAAAAGAAGAAUUUUAUCGUGGACACAGUUCGAGAAAUAUGGUUGAGGUUGCUGUGGUCUAUCAUAUAGUUCUUGGCCUUUACAAACAAUUCACUCAAACAAGGAAGAAGGUUAGUAUUGGGAUAAUAUCACCUUAUAAAGCCCAAGUCAAUGCAAUUGAAGAGAGUCAGAGAAUACAGUACAAAUCAUUUAGAUGUAACUGAUUUCUCUGUAAGUGUGCGGUCUGUUGAUGGAUUCCAAGGUGGUGAGGAGGACGUGAUAAUCAUUUCCACUGUUAGAUGUAAUGGGAAUGGAUCAAUUGGUUUCCUCUCAAAUCUUCAAAGAACAAAAGUGUUACUAACACGGGCAAGGCACUGUCUUUGGAUAUUGGGGAAUGGACCGACCCUGUUUAACAGCAACUCCAUUUGGAAGAAGCUAAUCAUGGAUGCCAAGAAUCGCAAUUGUUUUUACAACGCUGAUGAAGACAACUUGUCUAAUGCUAUUGCGUCUGCCCUUGUGGAUCUUAACCAAGUUCAAGUUUUAUUCAAUUCUGAUUCUCUGCUGUUCAGAAAUGUUGAAAAUGCAAAGUGGAAGGUUUACUUUGCCAAUGAAUUUAAGAAAUCCAUCGCAAAGUUUAGGGACCCUGAAAUUCGUCGGGAAGUGGCUUCUCUACUGCGAAAGCUUUCAAGUGGUUGGCACCAAUCUCAUGAGGUGAAAGUCUAUGGUGCGACUUCUUGUCAGCUGUUAGAGAAGUAUAAAGUUGAUGGGAUCCGGAAUUUGAUUUGGAGUGUGGACAUUCUCCAAGAGAAUUCACAAUGUAUACAGAUUAUACAAGUUUGGGAUAUUGUGCCACAUUCUGAUGUACCAGAACUUGCAAAGCGUCUUAACAUCAUUUUUGGGUGUUACACAAUGGACAGGGUUAAUCGCUGCAAACAAAGAAGUCUGGACGGGGACAAAGUUGUUCCAAUUACAUGGCCACUUGAAUAUUCAAGCCCUACAAGCAGUGUGGUUGUGAAUCUGAUCCUCUGGAGUUCCUUUCAACACCAUUAUCUUGUCUCAGUCUGGGGGACGACCCAGCUGAAAAUUCAACUGCAUUUUAUACGAGGCAUAUGUAAGUUAAUUAAUGAUGUCCCUAUCCCUAUUGUUCCUGAUAUGUCUGAUAAGUUGAUUUGGGUUCCAUCAUCUUCUAGGGAGCUAUCUGCAAAGGAGGCAUUCCAAUUUUUGCGCCCACGUUUACCAUCUUUGGAUUGGGGGAAGCUCAUAGGGUCUAAAUUCAUCAUUCCCCGUAUUUCUCUUCAUUCUUGGAAAGUGUUAAGGGGUAGGGUGUUAUCCGAGGAUUUACUACAACGUCGUGGGAUUGCUUUGGCUUCUCAUGGGAUUGCUUUGGCUUCUCGUUGUGUUCUCGUUGCUUUGGCUUCUCAUACUACAGGAAAAUCUGGUUAUGGUGGAAUUUUUAGGGAUUUUCACGGCUCUUUCCUUGGUGCUUUUGCUUCAAACCUUGAAAUUCCUAACUCGGUGGAUGCAGAGGUUAUGGCGGUUAUUCAAGCUAUUGAGUUGGCUUGGGUUAGGGAUUGGAAGCAUAUUUGGCUUGAGGUGGAUUCAACAAUUGUGCUUAAUUUCUUGCGGGAUCCUCAUCUUGUUCCUUGGCGUUUGCGAGUAGCAUGGGGUAAUUGUUGCACCGCAUUUCUCAGAUGA